GCCGCCGUAGCUCAGCCUGGCAGAGCGCCGGACUCAUACGGAGCCACGGGUCCGAAGUCGACUAAGCUCAGGGGAGAUCCGGUUGUCCCGGGUUCAAAUCCCGGCGGCGGCA
This 112-nucleotide transfer RNA is filed under the name Staphylothermus marinus F1. It matches the Rfam family "tRNA". Rfam says of the family: Transfer RNA (tRNA) molecules are approximately 80 nucleotides in length. Their secondary structure includes four short double-helical elements and three loops (D, anti-codon, and T loops). The record is from Rfam by way of RNAcentral. Lineage: Archaea; Thermoproteati; Thermoproteota; Thermoprotei; Desulfurococcales; Desulfurococcaceae.